GAUAAAAUGGCUGAAAUUUAAGGCGAUAAAUUGUAAAUUUAUUAAUGAAAAUUAUUUUCUUUUAUUA
Molecule: transfer RNA, 67 nt
Filed under: Abia sp.
Lineage: Eukaryota; Metazoa; Arthropoda; Insecta; Hymenoptera; Cimbicidae
Description: tRNA-Tyr
Rfam family: tRNA
About the family: Transfer RNA (tRNA) molecules are approximately 80 nucleotides in length. Their secondary structure includes four short double-helical elements and three loops (D, anti-codon, and T loops).
Source: RNAcentral